This 75-nucleotide transfer RNA is filed under the name Marinospirillum sp. RNAcentral describes it as "tRNA-Gln". It matches the Rfam family "tRNA". Rfam says of the family: Transfer RNA (tRNA) molecules are approximately 80 nucleotides in length. Their secondary structure includes four short double-helical elements and three loops (D, anti-codon, and T loops). The record is from RNAcentral. Lineage: Bacteria; Pseudomonadati; Pseudomonadota; Gammaproteobacteria; Oceanospirillales; Oceanospirillaceae.
UGGGGUAUAGCCAAGUGGUAAGGCACCUGGUUUUGGUCCAGGCAUUCGGGAGUUCGAAUCUCUCUACCCCAGCCA